CCUACGGGGGGCUGCAGUGGGGAAUAUUGGACAAUGGGGGCAACCCUGAUCCAGCCAUGCCGCGUGUGUGAAGAAGGCCCUCGGGUUGUAAAGCACUUUCAGUGAGGAAGAACGCCUGGUGGUUAAUACCCAUCAGGAAAGACAUCACUCACAGAAGAAGCACCGGCUAACUCCGUGCCAGCAGCCGCGGUAAUACGGAGGGUGCGAGCGUUAAUCGGAAUUACUGGGCGUAAAGCGCGCGUAGGUGGCUUGAUAAGCCGGUUGUGAAAGCCCCGGGCUCAACCUGGGAACGGCAUCCGGAACUGUCAAGCUAGAGUGCAGGAGAGGGAGGUAGAAUUCCCGGUGUAGCGGUGAAAUGCGUAGAGAUCGGGAGGAAUACCAGUGGCGAAGGCGGCCUUCUGGACUGACACUGACACUGAGGUGCGAAAGCGUGGGUAGCAAACAGGAUUAGAUACCCUUGUAGUC
This 465-nucleotide ribosomal RNA is filed under the name Vreelandella stevensii. Its description in RNAcentral is "partial 16S ribosomal RNA". It matches the Rfam family "Bacterial small subunit ribosomal RNA", at positions 338 to 795 of the family's 1533-position model. Lineage: Bacteria; Pseudomonadati; Pseudomonadota; Gammaproteobacteria; Oceanospirillales; Halomonadaceae. The record is from RNAcentral.